RNAcentral lists this transfer RNA (89 nucleotides) under Candidatus Aenigmatarchaeota archaeon. Its description in RNAcentral is "tRNA-Thr". It matches the Rfam family "tRNA". Rfam says of the family: Transfer RNA (tRNA) molecules are approximately 80 nucleotides in length. Their secondary structure includes four short double-helical elements and three loops (D, anti-codon, and T loops). The record is from RNAcentral. Lineage: Archaea; Nanobdellati; Candidatus Aenigmatarchaeota.
GCCACCAUAGCUCAAUCCGAUUUGGGGGAAAUUGGCAGAGCAUCUGUUUUGUAAACAGAAGGUUGGGGGUUCAAGUCCCUCUGGUGGCU